This is an RNA transcript of Halichondria panicea, 2162 nucleotides long. It is a transcript of the gene named THO complex subunit 2-like, with no coding region annotated. Lineage: Eukaryota; Metazoa; Porifera; Demospongiae; Suberitida; Halichondriidae. The record is from RefSeq and is a predicted model, not a curated record. The transcript is spliced from 6 exons.
AUUGCUGCGUUCAAGUGGGAAACCUUACAGCUCAAUUUAGCUGACAAGGCGAGCUGGGACACUGUAUUUCUCUGGAGAAUGCAGAAACAGCUCCUGCUGGAUAUCUAGGCUACUAGAAAAGAAGCAUAGUCUAUCUUAGCAUCUAUGAAUGAAGUUUGAACAGUAUGUAUUAAUUAAUUAAAAGGACUUGUCUUUGUUUUAAGUUUUGUUGUGCUACCAAUAAGAUUAGAUCAUUAGUUUGGACAAAACCUGUGUUAUGUAUGCCUUCUUUGGUCUUCGAAAAGCUUCUCAGAAGCCUUGGGGUAGUCUUAUAGCUGGCUGUACCUCUCCUUGUGCUAGAUGUCUAACUAUUAUGAAAAAGUUUAUUUCUGCCUGUACUAAAUCUUAUAUUACAGGCUACAGUAUUCUUCUACUUUCUCUAAGAGUCUGAGGUCUUUCUUGAAUUCCAAAACAACUAUAGCUAGAUCCAGUCAGCUAGAAUAGCCAUCCAAAUAGUUAAUUGAUUUCUUUAUAUCGCACCCCUGAGCCAUGCGGUUGUCAGCCACUUAAAGAUUAAACAAUAUUCAUACUCUGUCUCAAGUACCGGUGGAACAAAACUGCUACAUGUACUGAUACCCAACCCAGAGCGCAGCGUUGGUUGGACUCCGCCCAACUAAACGUCUACAAGGGGUACCUGGUAUCUAUAGAUCUUGCUGCCUUCCCCUUGGACGAGCGUGCACUGCGUAUGCACUGUACUGCUGAUCUUAGAAGGCUGAAGGAGAUGGUGCAUCUGAGCCAGCUUAUAGUAUUAAAGUAUAGUACUGCUAUAGUAGAUCUACUGCUGUAGGACUGGUCCCACUUCUCUGCGAGCAUUGUGGCACAAAGGUUUUUUCAUAUAUAGUACAGUUCAGAGUUGUACAUGCUGGCUGGUAGGUACAUUGUACAAGGUGGAUGAUGGCUUUAUCAGAGGAGCUGGUCAAGGACUGGAGCACCAAAGGCCAUGACAAGGCCCUUGCUUUAUUCGAGGACGUACUCUCCACUGGGACACAUGGAACCGACUGUGUGGAGUUGCGUGGCAUGCUGUACGACCUGCUCAAGCACUGUGUGACUGGGGCACUAGACGGACAGGAUGUGGCCACCUUUAUCUCAGAACUCACAUCUAUAUACAUGCUGAGACGAUCAGCAAUGAGAACAAGGAUGAGAGGACUGCAUUUGUUUCUGUGAUAACCGCUCUUAUGGCACGUACUUUAAACUAACAAGGGGACAGACACUCCAUUUCUUCUAUUAUAAUAAAGCCUCUGAUUGAUUGUUUUCUGCCUCCUCAGAAAACUGUUGGAGAGCCGCUGCUGAAAGAACGACUAGAGAUGGAAACACUGGAGCAAGUCAGUCUGGUCCCUUCAGCUAGGAAUUUCAAUCAGAAAUAUGUCAAGACCAAAACAAAGUUAUUCUACAAGCAGCAGAAGUUUAAUCUGUUCCGAGAGGAGAACGAGGGCUAAUCUAAGCUGGUGGUGGAGCUGGGUCACGAGGAGAGGCCACUGGCAGCUGCUCCAGCCAUGCUUGACAAUAAUUAUAAUGCUCUUCUCAUUGGUCAUUUAUGAAAUACAUAGGGGUAGCUUGCAGCUCCAUAACCAUGGCUAUCAAUGGUCGUUUCAACAUUGAUCCUAACCGAGUGCUGGAUGUUAUCCUGGAGGCAUUUGAAUUUUCCGGGAAUAAUCACUUCCUCCAAGUGGAAAAGAAUAUCCUCACAAACACUUUUGAGCAGAUAGUACUGGCCUUCUUUAUCAUUCUUGCCCUCACCGUACACCUUGAGGACUCUGAGAUGAAGCUGGUACCUAUCUACAUUUUGAGCUUCAUUACUGGAAGAGUUCUCUUUAUCAGUGGAUACAAGAUUGGACCGAAAUUUCGAUCGUGUGGUAUGUUGACGAAUAUAGUAAGUACAUUCCUGAUGCUCGGAGUGAUAUGAUACACUAUUUAUUCUCGUGGACUGCUGGCUGCAAGCACUGGAAAAGACGAACUGUAAAACAAAUUAAUUUUAUCUGAGAACAGUAAUUUGAGUGUGUUAAUUGAUGAUUGGUGUGUUUGCUCUCUGAUUGCAGGUGAUAUACUCAUUCUUGCUUUAACUAUGUAUUGAUCUUUACCAUUUCACACUACAGUAAAUUUAUUUGUAUGUGCUUCUUUGUUGA